AACGCUAGCGGCAGGCUUAACACAUGCAAGUCGAGGGGCGAACACGGGUAGCAAUACCUGGUGGCGACCGGCGCAAGGGUGCGUAACGCGUGAGCAACAUGCCCUAUACAGGGGGAUAAUCCAGGGAAACUUGGUCUAAUAUCCCAUAGUAUUUAGAGGAGGCAUCUUCUAUAAAUUAAAGCUUCGGUGGUAUAGGAUUGGCUCGCGUGACAUUAGCUAGAUGGUGAGGUAACGGCUCACCAUGGCAAUGAUGUCUAGGGGUUCUGAGAGGAAGGCCCCCCACACUGGGACUGAGACACGGCCCAGACUCCUACGGGAGGCAGCAGUGAGGAAUAUUGGACAAUGGAUGGAAAUCUGAUCCAGCCAUGCCGCGUGCAGGAAGACAGCCCUAUGGGUUGUAAACUGCUUUUAUAUGGGAGCAAUAAGGUCUACGUGUAGACUGAUGAGAGUACCAUAUGAAUAAGCAUCGGCUAACUCCGUG
Molecule: ribosomal RNA, 481 nt
Filed under: uncultured bacterium
Lineage: Bacteria
Description: bacterial SSU rRNA
Rfam family: Bacterial small subunit ribosomal RNA
Source: RNAcentral